ACAAAACCAACUAUUAUUUCUUCAAAAGAAAAAUCCCAUUUUCUUUUCAUUGUUCUUCCCGUUUUCUUCUUUUCAUUCUUUAUCUCUUCCUUUCUCAUUCCCUUUUUCUUUCUCUUUAACUUCUGGUGAAUCAGCGAUUGAAGGAAAGAAAUCACUAAACGUUAGUUGAUUUAGAUCCUUAAAUUUAAGUAGCGUGGAGUUUCAAGGACAAGUCUGCAAAUGGUUCUUUUGCUGUGGAAUGAGCGAUUACGCUAUAUUUGGAAACUAGAGAACUCAAUUUUAGGAACAUCGGGCCUAAGUGGCACCCCACCAACUCGGUGGCUACCCGGAAGAUCGUUGCGGCAACGAUGGCUGGUAACCAGAACUACCCUGAUGGUGGCACUGGCCAUGAAAGAAUAGAGUAACGUUAUUUGAGUUUAAAUGAAUGACAGCUUACAAAUAUUUUGCAGCUAGCUUGAUGUAGUAAGCUAAGAAGAGCUUAUGGCGUGGAGCUAUGGACACAAUGUGGUAUAUGUUGUCGUCCUUGUAUAUAUAUAUAUCAUGGGUUGUUUGGAGGAUUUUUAUCUGGGAUGUUUGGUGUUAAUCUGAAGUUAGUUUUUAUUAAAUUUUUCCCAACCAUGGAUGCUGAAAGUCUUGUACACUGAAAUAAUAGUUUCUUUUGCAAAUGCCUGUGCAUUUUUAGAUGUACAUUUUUACAGCUAACUUCAUUUUGUUAAUGGGAGUUGAGUAUCAAAUCCCCUUGUUUUUUCAUAAUUUCUAUUAGAUAAAAAUCUUUCUGUUUUAAUGUUAAGCAUUUCUUUUGUUAUUA
Long non-coding RNA from Papaver somniferum (opium poppy), 808 nucleotides. RefSeq lists it as uncharacterized. The record is from RefSeq and is a predicted model, not a curated record. The transcript has 4 exons. NCBI's taxonomy places the organism in Eukaryota, Viridiplantae, Streptophyta, Magnoliopsida, Ranunculales, Papaveraceae.